Octopus sinensis (East Asian common octopus) is the source of this 98-nucleotide long non-coding RNA. RefSeq lists it as uncharacterized. The record is from RefSeq and is a predicted model, not a curated record. NCBI's taxonomy places the organism in Eukaryota, Metazoa, Mollusca, Cephalopoda, Octopoda, Octopodidae. The transcript is spliced from 3 exons.
AUCAAGCCCCCAGAGACAGCUGUUGAACUCGUAAAACUCUUAUUCAACCCAUUUAAUUCCUGAUAUCAUUUCUAUUCUGUGUAAACAUGUCCUUUUAU